AUUAUAUUUUUUUGGGAAUCCAAAUUUUUAAACAAAAAAAAAGCCUUACAUUUUUUUCACGUAUAUGUUUCUAAUCACAAAUAAAAACCAUUAUCACCAUUGAUGGGAAAAGAAGCAGAUGAAGGUAACAAAAAAAAAUUGCCGUAAAAAGUUGUAUUGAAUCAAAAGUUUGUAAAAAAGAUGUAGAAUUUGUUAAAAUAUUUUUUUGCAAAAAAACAUAUUUGAUAGAAGAAGAAGAAGAAGAAGAACUGAUAUAAUGAUGAUGAAAGUAAAAAAUCUUGGAGAGUUUGAAAAAGUCUCAAGUCUUUUGGUGAGAUUCUUGAACAAGUGAACAAAGAAAAGAAGAAGGAGUGUGCAGUGAUGAUGAACUAUGAAAAAAUAAAGAAAAAAAAAUUUGAUACAGUGAUG
RNAcentral lists this long non-coding RNA (408 nucleotides) under Trifolium pratense (red clover). RNAcentral's name for it is "long non-coding RNA (TPRA_LNC007635)". The record is from RNAcentral. Lineage: Eukaryota; Viridiplantae; Streptophyta; Magnoliopsida; Fabales; Fabaceae.